UACGUAGGGUGCAAGCGUUAAUCGGAAUUACUGGGCGUAAAGCGUGCGCAGGCGGUUAUGUAAGACAGAUGUGAAAUGCCCGGGCUUAACCUGGGAACUGCAUUUGUGACUGCAUGGCUAGAGUUUGGCAGAGGGGGGUAGAAUUCCACGUGUAGCAGUGAAAUGCGUAGAUAUCGAGAGGAACACCAGUGGCGAAGGCGAGUCCCUGGACAACACCUGACACUGAGGCAAGCGAAAGCUAGGGGAGCAAACAGG
This 255-nucleotide ribosomal RNA is filed under the name uncultured bacterium. RNAcentral's name for it is "partial 16S ribosomal RNA". It matches the Rfam family "Bacterial small subunit ribosomal RNA", at positions 524 to 776 of the family's 1533-position model. The record is from RNAcentral.